RNAcentral lists this ribosomal RNA (464 nucleotides) under uncultured bacterium. RNAcentral's name for it is "partial 16S ribosomal RNA". It matches the Rfam family "Bacterial small subunit ribosomal RNA", at positions 28 to 507 of the family's 1533-position model. The record is from RNAcentral.
GAUGAACGCUGGCGGCGUGCUUAACACAUGCAAGUCGAACGGAAAGGCUCCUGCUUGCAGGGGUACUCGAGUGGCGAACGGGUGAGUAACACGUGGGUGAUCUGCCCUGCACUUCGGGAUAAGCCUGGGAAACUGGGUCUAAUACCGGAUAGGACGAUGGUUUGGAUGCCAUUGUGGAAAGUUUUUCGGUGUGGGUUGAGCUCGGGGCCUAUCAGCUUGUUGGUGGGUAAUGGCCUACCAAGGCGGCGACGGGUAGCCGGCCUGGGAGGGUGUACGGCCUCAUUGGGACUGCGAUACGGCCCAGACUCCUACGGGAGGCAGCAGUGGGGAAUAUUGCACAAUGGGCGCAAGCCUGAUGCAGCGACGCCGCGUGGGGGAUGACGGCCUUCGGGUUGUAAACUCCUUUCGCUAGGGACGAAGCGCAAGUGACGGUACCUGGAGAAGAAGCACCGGCUAACUACGUG